Molecule: ribosomal RNA, 563 nt
Filed under: uncultured bacterium
Lineage: Bacteria
Description: bacterial SSU rRNA
Rfam family: Bacterial small subunit ribosomal RNA
Source: RNAcentral
CCUACGGGAGGCAGCAGUAGGGAAUUUUCCGCAAUGGGCGAAAGCCUGACGGAGCAAUACCGCGUGAGGGAUGACGGCCUGUGGGUUGUAAACCUCUUUUCUCAAGGAAGAAGUUCUGACGGUACUUGAGGAAUAAGCAUCGGCUAACUCUGUGCCAGCAGCCGCGGUAAUACAGAGGAUGCAAGCGUUAUCCGGAAUCACUGGGCAUAAAGCGUCUGUAGGUUGUUUAGUAAGUCUGCUGUUAAAGACUGGGGCUUAACCCCAGAAAAGCAGUGGAAACUGCUAGACUCGAGUGUGGUAGAGGUAGAGGGAAUUCCUAGUGUAGCGGUGAAAUGCGUAGAUAUUAGGAAGAACACCAAUGGCGAAGGCACUCUACUGGGCCAUAACUGACACUGAGAGACGACAGCUAGGGGAGCAAACGGGAUUAGAUACCCCGGUAGUCCUAGCCGUAAACGAUGGAUACUAGAUGUUGCACGUAUUAACCCGUGCAGUAUCGUAGCUAAGGCGUUAAGUAUCCGCCUGGGAAGUACGCUCGCAAGAGUGAAACUCAAAUGAAUUGACGG